UUGAACGCUGGCGGCGUGCCUAACACAUGCAAGUCGAGCGGUAACAGGUGUAGCAAUACAUGCUGACGAGCGGCGGACGGGUGAGUAACGCUUGGGAAUCUGCCUAUUAGUGGGGGACAACCCGGGGAAACUCGGGCUAAUACCGCAUACGCUCUACGGAGGAAAGCCGGGGACCGCAAGGCCUGGCGCUAAUAGAUGAGCCCAAGUCGGAUUAGCUAGUUGGUAGGGUAAUGGCCUACCAAGGCGACGAUCCGUAACUGGUCUGAGAGGACGACCAGUCACACCGGAACUGAGACACGGUCCGGACUCCUACGGGAGGCAGCAGUGGGGAAUAUUGGACAGUGGGCGAAAGCCUGAUCCAGCGACGCCGCGUGGGUGAAGAAGGCCUGCGGGUUGUAAAGCCCUUUCAGUAGGGGAAGAAAAGCCUCGACCUAACACGUCGGGGUCUUGACGUAACCAUAGAGAAGCACCGGCUAACUCUGUGCCAGCAGCCGCCGU
RNAcentral lists this ribosomal RNA (498 nucleotides) under uncultured bacterium. RNAcentral describes it as "bacterial SSU rRNA". It matches the Rfam family "Bacterial small subunit ribosomal RNA", at positions 29 to 521 of the family's 1533-position model. The record is from RNAcentral.